UGUAUGUAUGUGUGUACAUGUAUAUGUAUAUAAGCUUUCAUAUUGAAAGAAAUACAAUGUAUUAAAUACAAGAUGGGGGUAAACCAUUCAGGACCCCUACUCC
Molecule: microRNA precursor, 103 nt
Filed under: Octodon degus (degu)
Lineage: Eukaryota; Metazoa; Chordata; Mammalia; Rodentia; Octodontidae
Description: miRNA (ENSODEG00000021820.1)
Source: RNAcentral